GCAUGCUUACAACAUAGCAUUAAUGCACCAUAUUUCAUUAGAACUUCGUAGUUAAGCACGCUCAGGCUAAAAUAGUAUUGGGAUGGGUGAUCGCCCUGGAAGUCCUAGUGUUUUACAUGCU
Molecule: non-coding RNA, 121 nt
Organism: Picea glauca (white spruce)
Lineage: Eukaryota; Viridiplantae; Streptophyta; Pinopsida; Pinales; Pinaceae
Source: Rfam